RNAcentral lists this ribosomal RNA (253 nucleotides) under uncultured bacterium. Its description in RNAcentral is "partial 16S ribosomal RNA". It matches the Rfam family "Bacterial small subunit ribosomal RNA", at positions 524 to 776 of the family's 1533-position model. The record is from RNAcentral.
UACAGAGGGUGCGAGCGUUAAUCGGAAUUACUGGGCGUAAAGGGCGCGUAGGCGGCCUGCUAAGUCGGAUGUGAAAUCCCUCGGCUCAACCGAGGAACUGCAUCCGAUACUGGCGGGCUUGAAUCCGGGAGAGGGAUGUGGAAUUCCAGGUGUAGCGGUGAAAUGCGUAGAUAUUUGGAGGAACACCGGUGGCGAAGGCGGCAUCCUGGACCGGUAUUGACGCUGAGGCGCGAAAGCUAGGGGAGCAAACGGG